GAAGAAAUGGACAGAUGGACUCACACUCCAGCGUUUUGAUGCUCAUUCCAAAACCAAUGAGCAGACAGUUCAGGAGAUGUUAAACCUUGCUGUCAAGUAUAAUAAAGCAGUGCAGGAGGAGGAUGAGUUGCCUCCAGAAAAGCUAGCUAUUGCAAAUGUAGGAAGGCAAGAUGCAAAGAAGCAUCUUGAAGAGCAUGUCUCAAAUUUGAUGUCUUCAAACAUAGUUCAGACAUUGGGAACCAUGCUUGACACAGUUGUCUUCUGAAGUUCGUUUCUCGAGAGUCUGCAAAAAUUGUGUUUGAAAUCGCUUAAUAGGAACAUGUUUUUUGCUAUAUUUUUUUAAUGUGACCAGUACCAUCAUUUUAAUUCUGUGAUAGCAGCUGUUAUUCGAUAUGUUUAUGUUAUCUUUAGAUGACUUCUGACUUAUAGUGA
Non-coding RNA from Nicotiana tabacum (common tobacco), 432 nucleotides. Lineage: Eukaryota; Viridiplantae; Streptophyta; Magnoliopsida; Solanales; Solanaceae. The record is from RefSeq and is a predicted model, not a curated record.